Molecule: long non-coding RNA, 473 nt
Organism: Lotus japonicus
Lineage: Eukaryota; Viridiplantae; Streptophyta; Magnoliopsida; Fabales; Fabaceae
Exons: 2
Source: RefSeq, a predicted model, not a curated record
UUUUUUUUUUAGCAAACUCACGUUCUUCCCAUUGAACUUCUGGAACGCUUUCACACCCACCUAUCUGCGGUGCUGUGGAUAAUUGAAAUCUAAGGCAACGACUUAUAGUAACAACAUGUGCUAUUCAUAAUUACAUACGCAAGUGGAAUUUGAAUGAUGAACUAUUUAGGAUGUGGGAAGAAUUGGAUCCCGCGGAUAGCAUGAAUGAAGGUUCUAGCACUGCAGGAACAACCUCACAUGAUGACAAUUUAGCAAGACUAUCUGAUGAAGGUGCAGCUGAAAUGGCAAUGCAAAGGGAUCAAAUUGCAGAUUGGAUGUGGGCACAUCAUGACAUUGAUAAUUGACUCAUUUUAACUUUGUAUGAUAUUAGACCGCAUUAGUUUUAAAUAUUAUCACUUUGACUUUGUUAUCAAGUUGUAAUAUGAUAAUAUGACACUUUUCUUAGUUAUUAGAUUUUAAUUGACUUUAACGUA